RNAcentral lists this ribosomal RNA (496 nucleotides) under uncultured bacterium. RNAcentral describes it as "partial 16S ribosomal RNA". It matches the Rfam family "Bacterial small subunit ribosomal RNA", at positions 29 to 507 of the family's 1533-position model. The record is from RNAcentral.
AUGCACGCUGGCGGCGUGCCUAAUACAUGCACGUCGAGCGAACAGACGAGGAGCUUGCUCCUCUGACGUUAGCGGCGGACGGGUGAGUAACACGUGGAUAACCUACCUAUAGGACUGGGAUAACUUCGGGAAACCGGAGCUAAUACCGGAUAAUAUAUUGAACCGCAUGGUUCAAUAGUGAAAGACGGUUUUGCUGUCACUUAUAGAUGGAUCCGCGCCGCAUUAGCUAGUUGGUAAGGUAACGGCUUACCAAGGCAACGAUGCGUAGCCGACCUGAGAGGGUGAUCGGCCACACUGGAACUGAGACACGGUCCAGACUCCUACGGGAGGCAGCAGUAGGGAAUCUUCCGCAAUGGGCGAAAGCCUGACGGAGCAACGCCGCGUGAGUGAUGAAGGUCUUCGGAUCGUAAAACUCUGUUAUUAGGGAAGAACAAAUGUGUAAGUAACUAUGCACGUCUUGACGGUACCUAAUCAGAAAGCCACGGCUAACUACGUG